Molecule: signal recognition particle RNA, 262 nt
Filed under: Dehalococcoidia bacterium
Lineage: Bacteria; Bacillati; Chloroflexota; Dehalococcoidia
Description: signal recognition particle sRNA large type
Rfam family: Bacterial large signal recognition particle RNA
About the family: The signal recognition particle (SRP) is a universally conserved ribonucleoprotein involved in the co-translational targeting of proteins to membranes. Archaeal SRP consists of a 7S RNA and homologues of the eukaryotic SRP19 and SRP54 proteins.
Source: RNAcentral
CCGCGCUAGGUGGGGAACUAGCGGUGCCCUGCACCCGCAAUCCGCUAUAGCGGGGCUGAAUUCCCGUUCGAGGUCUGCGUCUUCGCAAACCGCUUCGCCGAUCAGUGCUGAAGGCUGGGUCCUGCGCGGCAGAGUGCUAUGAACUCCGUCAGGUCCGGAAGGAAGCAGCGGUAAAUCGAGAGCUCUGGGUGCCGCAGGGCUUCCUGGCCCGAGUUGAUCAGCCGAGUAGGCCGCGAAGACAGGAACGACAACGGGUGCGUGG